CUGAGCACUUCUUCUGGGUGCAGUUCGCAGGCCUGGCCUUCUGCUGGGUUUCCUGUUCCCUGUCUUCAGGGCUGCAUCUCUCCUGCUCGUCCCUCCUCCCGCCCCAGAGCCCUUCUUUCCCACACUUCCAGCUUCAUUUCCUUCUGGUCUCAUCUCAUUGUGUGUCCAACGACGUGAUGAGAAUCUGCCUCACAGGUGGAAGCCUUGAGACACACUCUUUCCUCGUCUACCCCCUGUUUGGUUACUGCAAGUCUUCCUUGGAGUGGGUGGGGCUUGUGCCGUGGGACCCACUGAAGAGACUUCGAGACAUGCUGCUUUCCACUGACUGUAGCUUCAGGCUUCAGAAGGCAUGGGUUGUGCUGUCUUCUAAGCAUUUUCCCCUCUGGCUUGACAAGAAGCCAGGCUCCCAGGGAAGAGACUGCACAGGAGGCCAGAGAGGAGGUGUUCUAAGAUGCCCACCGCGGUGCCUCAGGUCCGUCAGCAGUGCCCAGGCAGAAGGUUUGUGUUGAAAUUUGGAUCAGGCUAAGGAAAUGGGAGGACUGACCUGGCCUGUGCUCCUGAAUCUUUGGUGACAGUUGUCCUUAGAGUCUAACCUGCCAACACUCUGGCACUAGGUGGCAUUUUGAUGUUAGCCUUGUGUCUCUGGCAGAUACUGAUAUUGCAAACAAUUGACUUCGAACUCCUGUUGGUACGGACACCGUUGUGUGGACGCACUCCCGAUAGCUCCUUUGGCCUGCACUUCUGCCCACCAGGUGUGAUUUUUUUUUUCCUCAGUUGACACUGAGAUACUGAGAAGUAACUUGGCUUGAGAUCAUCCAGGAACCUAAGAUAAGGUUCCCAAGUAAGCUUGCAGAGUCCUGCAUCUGUUAUGUGUGACUCUACCUCUGUGCCGUAAGCGGUUUACUAUAAUGUAUAUACACAAUUAUAUCUCUGGUCAUUAAAAAGGUAAAAAUCAUUGUACACUUGCAUCAGCCUCCAAAACGCUGGCAUUACACAGGUGUGAGCAACCAUGCCUGGCCACAGUUUACUCCUGAAAUCAAGCAUUCCAUGGCCAUUCGUUCAGUGUGGCAGACAGAAGCACACUUUGCUAUCUUUGAAGUCUUCGUAGAAUCAUACUGAUACUCACCACUGAAAUAAUUUCCCUAAUACUGGCCAUGGUCUGUCCCCAGAUUUUCAGAAAGAGCACUGAAGUGCACAUUUGAUAGCAGCAGUGGUGACAGCGUCCCAUGAUCCCAAACAUGUACUUAU
This is a long non-coding RNA of Peromyscus leucopus (white-footed mouse), 1248 nucleotides long. RefSeq lists it as uncharacterized. Lineage: Eukaryota; Metazoa; Chordata; Mammalia; Rodentia; Cricetidae. The transcript is spliced from 4 exons. The record is from RefSeq and is a predicted model, not a curated record.